CCAGAACCGUCUCUGUUAUGUUAGCCCUCAAACCUGUGGGUUAAAAAAUGAGUGGCAGGAGAGACGGGCGUAUUUUAUAGAGUGUGAGCAGUAUACCUGUCCUUCACCAAACAGACUAGAUUCCAAGUGAUCUAUGUAUGGUUUAUGAAAAUAGUAUUUUUAAGUCUUUUUUGCUCCAGUGCAGUUGGAAACUGUACAAAAGUCACUGGCUUCUUUGUUGAUGAAGCACUCACUAAAAGCCCAUUUGAAAAUGCCUCAAAAGAAUAGAAAAUUAUGAGUUUUAACUAUUUAGUACCUGUAAAACAUCUCAA
This 311-nucleotide long non-coding RNA is filed under the name Bos taurus (domestic cattle). Its description in RNAcentral is "long non-coding RNA NONBTAT015827". The record is from RNAcentral. Lineage: Eukaryota; Metazoa; Chordata; Mammalia; Artiodactyla; Bovidae.